Long non-coding RNA from Lynx canadensis (Canada lynx), 1081 nucleotides. RefSeq lists it as uncharacterized. Lineage: Eukaryota; Metazoa; Chordata; Mammalia; Carnivora; Felidae. The transcript has 2 exons. The record is from RefSeq and is a predicted model, not a curated record.
UCCAGUGGAUGUGACCGGGGACGCACAGGGUUGCCACUUUCCAAGUCUCCCAAACCCCCAAGGAUGGGUAUUGGAGCUUCAAAGGAGAAAAACAGCAUCCUGGGCCGCAGCGCGGACUGGGGCAGAGGCUCCCGCAGGGCGAGAGGACGCCGGCGGUGCCUUGCAGGGAGCGGGAGGCCACAGGAGUCAUUGUCAUUUGGGGGGCUGCGGCCCCUCCCCUCCCCGGCCCCUGCGCCAGGGCAACAGCGAGGGGCGCACGCAGACUCGGGAGGCACAUGUAAGGGGAGAAUUGAAAUAUUUCGCCACGUCCCAGCCCAGCCCGUGAAGGGCCGCUGAGGGAAGCCGUGCUAAGCCAACAGCCUUCAUAACGCGCUGUCCAUCCUUCCCACUUGGAGCCACGUCUCUGGCACUUCCGAAAAUCCACUCAAGCAACUUCCACGCUGCAAACACCUGCACCACAGCACCUUCUGAAGCACCAACUCCUGUUUGGGAAGGGAUCCCAAAGAAUGUGCAAGACGCUGAAUGAAAAACCACCUCGUUUCGAAGUCGGGUGAAAUAGGGCCAUGCCGGUAGCCAACCACACGCUGCAGAUUAACGCGUUCUGAUUUAACAAACCCCUGGGACAAAACCACCCCGGGCGGUCUGGGGCUGGAACUGACUUUCCACCGAAUAGUUUCGCAUUAGCGUCUGGAGCAAACAACCAGCUUUGUUUUCCGACAUUGAUAGACCAUUUUGUCCAGGAAGCAUUUGCCCAGAAACAGGUGAAUCAGCAAGAGGCAAGAUUUGUGGCUAACAGCUCUGUGCCAACGGUUUUUAAACGCUUGCCUGUAACCCUGAUGGAAUAUUACAUUGAAACUACGGGUUUGAGGAAUAUUGCCUCGCCCUACUGAAACCCAGUCUUUUUUAAUGACAUUUUUUCCCAGAGAAGUGGGCAGUGUUUUGUUGUUUUUCGCGUUUGGUGUAGCUUAUAGAAUCCCGUUUCCCUGUUCCGAAACUGUCUUGAAUUUCUGUAUAGUUUCAAAUUGCCUUCUCCUUUGAUGUCAUUUCCAAAGUAAAUUUGUGCUCUAUUAUUCACAGGAAA